This 489-nucleotide ribosomal RNA is filed under the name uncultured bacterium. Its description in RNAcentral is "partial 16S ribosomal RNA". It matches the Rfam family "Bacterial small subunit ribosomal RNA", at positions 30 to 507 of the family's 1533-position model. The record is from RNAcentral.
UUGAACGCUGGCGGCAGGCCUAACACAUGCAAGUCGCACGGUAACAGGAAGCAGCUUGCUGCUUCGCUGACGAGUGGCGGACGGGUGAGUAAUGUCUGGGAAACUGCCUGAUGGAGGGGGAUAACUACUGGAAACGGUAGCUAAUACCGCAUAACGUCGCAAGACCAAAGAGGGGGACCUUAGGGCCUCUUGCCAUCGGAUGUGCCCAGAUGGGAUUAGCUAGUAGGUGGGGUAACGGCUCACCUAGGCGACGAUCCCUAGCUGGUCUGAGAGGAUGACCAGCCACACUGGAACUGAGACACGGUCCAGACGCCUACGGGAGGCAGCAGUGGGGAAUAUUGCACAAUGGGCGCAAGCCUGAUGCAGCCAUGCCGCGUGUAUGAAGAAGGCCUUCGGGUUGUAAAGUACUUUCAGCGGGGAGGAAGGGAGUAAAGUUAAUACCUUUGCUCAUUGACGUUACCCGCAGAAGAAGCACCGGCUAACUCCGUG